Molecule: ribosomal RNA, 635 nt
Filed under: Bacillus pumilus
Lineage: Bacteria; Bacillati; Bacillota; Bacilli; Caryophanales; Bacillaceae
Description: bacterial SSU rRNA
Rfam family: Bacterial small subunit ribosomal RNA
Source: RNAcentral
UGGACGAAGUCUGACGGAGCAACGCCGCGUGAGUGAUGAAGGUUUUCGGAUCGUAAAACUCUGUUGUUAGGGAAGAACAAGUGCGAGAGUAACUGCUCGCACCUUGACGGUACCUAACCAGAAAGCCACGGCUAACUACGUGCCAGCAGCCGCGGCAAUACGUAGGUGGCAAGCGUUGUCCGGAAUUAUUGGGCGUAAAGCGCGCGCAGGCGGUUUCUUAAGUCUGAUGUGAAAGCCCCCGGCUCAACCGGGGAGGGUCAUUGGAAACUGGGAAACUUGAGUGCAGAAGAGGAGAGUGGAAUUCCACGUGUAGCGGUGAAAUGCGUAGAGAUGUGGAGGAACACCAGUGGCAAAGGCGACUCUCUGGUCUGUAACUGACGCUGAGGCGCGAAAGCGUGGGGAGCGAACAGGAUUAGAUACCCUGGUAGUCCACGCCGUAAACGAUGAGUGCUAAGUGUUAGAGGGUUUCCGCCCUUUAGUGCUGCAGCUAACGCAUUAAGCACUCCGCCUGGGGAGUACGGUCGCAAGACUGAAACUCAAAUGAAUUGACGGGGAAUCGAAUUCCCGCGGCCGCCAUGGCGGCCGGGAGCAUGCGACGUCGGGCCCAAUUCGCCCUAWGGGGNRGUCGUAUUAAA